RNAcentral lists this ribosomal RNA (393 nucleotides) under uncultured bacterium. Its description in RNAcentral is "partial 16S ribosomal RNA". It matches the Rfam family "Bacterial small subunit ribosomal RNA", at positions 523 to 918 of the family's 1533-position model. The record is from RNAcentral.
AUACGGAGGACGCGAGCGUUAUCCGGAUUCAUUGGGUUUAAAGGGUGCGCAGGCGGCCGUGCAAGUCAGCGGUGAAAGCCCGGGGCUCAACCCCGGAAGUGCCGUUGAUACUGCAUGGCUGGAAUGCGGUCGAGGCGGGCGGAACGUGGCGGGGAGCGGGGAAAUGCGUAGAUAUGCCACAGAACGCCGAUAGCGGAGGCAGCUGGCCAGGCCUGCAUUGACGCUCGGGCACGAAAGCGUGGGGAUCGAACAGGAUUAGAUACCCUGGUAGUCCACGCCGUAAACGAUGGGCGCUCGUCGUCGGCGACAGACAGUCGGCGGCCAAGCGAAAGCGAUAAGCGCCCCACCUGGGGAGUACGGUCGCAAGGCUGAAACUCAAAUGAAUUGGCGGGG